UCUUUGAGGCGGCUGGUUAGUGGGGCGGUUGCUGGUGCGGUGUCGCGGACUGCUGUUGCUCCAUUGGAGACUGUCAGGACUCAUUUGAUGGUAGGCAGCAAUGGAAAUUCUUCCACGGAAGUCUUCGAUACAAUUAUGAAGACUGAAGGAUGGAAAGGGUUGUUCCGUGGCAAUUUUGUUAAUGUUAUUCGGGUUGCACCGAGCAAGGCUAUAGAGUUAUUUGCUUUUGAUACUGCUAAGAAGGUCUUGGCCCCCAAGUCAGGAGAACAACCAAAG
Molecule: unclassified non-coding RNA, 276 nt
Filed under: Hevea brasiliensis (rubber tree)
Lineage: Eukaryota; Viridiplantae; Streptophyta; Magnoliopsida; Malpighiales; Euphorbiaceae
Source: RNAcentral